RNAcentral lists this ribosomal RNA (536 nucleotides) under Acalles lemur cisalpinus. RNAcentral's name for it is "partial 16S ribosomal RNA". It matches the Rfam family "Bacterial large subunit ribosomal RNA", at positions 1819 to 2625 of the family's 2925-position model. Lineage: Eukaryota; Metazoa; Arthropoda; Insecta; Coleoptera; Curculionidae. The record is from RNAcentral.
GUCCUUUUGAGUAUAAUUUAAGGUCGGGCCUGCCCAAUGAUUAAUUAAAUGGCCGCGGUACACUGACCGUGCAAAGGUAGCAUAAUCAUUAGUUUUUUAAUUGAAAGCUUGCAUGAAGGGUUUAAUGAAAAAAAUACUGUCUCUAUUUAAAUUUAUUAGAAUUUUAUAUUUAAGUUAAAAAGCUUAAGUGAUUAUUGAAGACGAGAAGACCCUAUAGAGUUUAAUAUUGUAUUUAGUGAAACGUUAUUAGGAAUUUUAAAUGUUUAUUAUUUAAGAGUAUUUAAUUGGGGUGAUUAAAAAAUUAGUUGAACUUUUUUUAUAUUUUUACAUUGAUUAAUGAAUUAUUGAUCUUUUAUUUGAGAUUAAAAGAUCUAAUUACCUUAGGGAUAACAGCGUAAUUUUUUUUAGAGUUCUUAUCGAAAGAAAAGAUUGCGACCUCGAUGUUGGAUUAAAAUUAAUUGUUGGUGUAGAAGCUAAUAAAUUAGGUCUGUUCGACCUUUAAAUUUUUACAUGAUCUGAGUUUAAACCGGUGUAAG